GGUGGCUCAGCGGUAGAGCACUUGUCUUGCAUGCAUGAGGCCCUGGGUUCAAUUCCUCAGCACCA
This 65-nucleotide transfer RNA is filed under the name Dipodomys ordii (Ord's kangaroo rat). It matches the Rfam family "tRNA". Rfam says of the family: Transfer RNA (tRNA) molecules are approximately 80 nucleotides in length. Lineage: Eukaryota; Metazoa; Chordata; Mammalia; Rodentia; Heteromyidae. The record is from Rfam by way of RNAcentral.